UACAGGAUACCCGUAGAGUUUAAUCGGGCCCGGAGAGUUUUAACUUGGCUUACGGAAUUUUUGACAGGGGCCCCAAAAACUUUUAACUGGCCUGCCCAUGACUUCAGGAUAAGCCCGGGAAACUGGGUCUAAUACCGGAUAUGACUUCCUGCUGCAUGGCAGGGGGUGGAAAGAUUUAUCGGUUGGGGAUGGACUCGCGGCCUAUCAGCUUGUUGGUGAGGUAAUGGCUCACCAAGGCGACGACGGGUAGCCGGCCUGAGAGGGUGACCGGCCACACUGGGACUGAAACACGGCCCAAACUCCUACGGGAGGCAGCAGUGGGGAAUAUUGCACAAUGGGCGAAAGCCUGAUGCAGCGACGCCGCGUGAGGGAUGACGGCCUUCGGGUUGUAAACCUCUUUCAGUAGGGAAGAAGCCCCUUUUGGGGGUGACGGUACUUGCAGAAGAAGCGCCGGCUAACUACGUGCCAGCAGCCGCGGUAAUACGUAGGGCGCAAGCGUUAUCCGGAAUUAUUGGGCGUAAAGAGCUCGUAGGCGGUUUGUCGCGUCUGCCGUGAAAGUCCGAGGCUCAACCUCGGAUCUGCGGUGGGUACGGGCAGACUAAAGUGAUGUAGGGGAGACUGGAAUCCCU
This 629-nucleotide ribosomal RNA is filed under the name Arthrobacter sp. HPC 874. RNAcentral's name for it is "bacterial SSU rRNA". It matches the Rfam family "Bacterial small subunit ribosomal RNA", at positions 45 to 671 of the family's 1533-position model. The record is from RNAcentral. Lineage: Bacteria; Bacillati; Actinomycetota; Actinomycetes; Micrococcales; Micrococcaceae.